GGAGGAGUGGCCGAGUGGUCGAAGGCAACGGUCUUGAAAACCGUCGGACGCGAGUCCCGGGGGUUCGAAUCCCUCCUCCUCCGCCA
RNAcentral lists this transfer RNA (86 nucleotides) under Deltaproteobacteria bacterium. Its description in RNAcentral is "tRNA-Ser". It matches the Rfam family "tRNA". Rfam says of the family: Transfer RNA (tRNA) molecules are approximately 80 nucleotides in length. Their secondary structure includes four short double-helical elements and three loops (D, anti-codon, and T loops). Further hydrogen bonds mediate the characteristic L-shaped molecular structure. tRNAs have two regions of fundamental functional importance: the anti-codon, which is responsible for specific mRNA codon recognition, and the 3' end, to which the tRNAs corresponding amino acid is attached (by aminoacyl-tRNA synthetases). tRNAs cope with the degeneracy of the genetic code in two manners: having more than one tRNA (with a specific anti-codon) for a particular amino acid; and 'wobble' base-pairing, i.e. permitting non-standard base-pairing at the 3rd anti-codon position. The record is from RNAcentral. Lineage: Bacteria; Pseudomonadati; Myxococcota; Myxococcia. RNAcentral also lists the same sequence under 1 other name.